UACGAAGGGGGCUAGCGUUGCUCGGAAUUACUGGGCGUAAAGCGCACGUAGGCGGCUUUCUAAGUCGGGGGUGAAAUCCUGGAGCUCAACUCCAGAACUGCCUUCGAUACUGGAAAGCUCGAGUCCGGGAGAGGUGAGUGGAACUGCGAGCGUAGAGGUGAAAUUCGUAGAUAUUCGCAAGAACACCAGUGGCGAAGGCGGCUCACUGGCCCGGUACUGACGCUGAGGUGCGAAAGCGUGGGGAGCAAACAGG
This 253-nucleotide ribosomal RNA is filed under the name uncultured bacterium. RNAcentral describes it as "partial 16S ribosomal RNA". It matches the Rfam family "Bacterial small subunit ribosomal RNA", at positions 524 to 776 of the family's 1533-position model. The record is from RNAcentral.